GCCGCGUGAAUGAUGAAGGCCUUAGGGUUGUAAAGUUCUUUAAGUGGGGAAGAUAAUGACGGUACCCACAGAAUAAGCACCGGCUAACUUCGUGCCAGCAGCCGCGGUAAUACGAAGGGUGCAAGCGUUGUUCGGAAUUACUGGGCGUAAAGCGCGCGUAGGCGGUUUGAUAAGUUGGGAGUGAAAUCCCGGGGCUUAACUCCGGAAUUGCUUUCAAAACUAUCAAUCUAGAGUAUGGUAGGGGACAGUGGAAUUCCUAGUGUAGAGGUGAAAUUCGUAGAUAUUAGGAGGAACACCAGUGGCGAAAGCGACUGUCUGGGCCAUUACUGACGCUGAGGCGCGAAAGCGUGGGGAGCAAACAGGAUUAGAUACCCUGGUAGUCCACGCCGUAAACGAUGGGUGCUAGAUAUUGGAGCUUAAGCUUCAGUGUCGUAGCUAACGCGUUAAGCACCCCGCCUGGGGAGUACGGUCGCAAGAUUAAAACUCAAAGGAAUUGACGGGGACCCGCACAAGUGGUGGAGCAUGUGGUUUAAUUCGAUGCUACGCGAAAAACCUUACCACCUUUUGACAUCUCCCUUACGGAAGCUUGUUAUAGAGCUUCUUCGGUUCGGCCGGAGGGAAGA
This 623-nucleotide ribosomal RNA is filed under the name uncultured bacterium. Its description in RNAcentral is "bacterial SSU rRNA". It matches the Rfam family "Bacterial small subunit ribosomal RNA", at positions 396 to 1034 of the family's 1533-position model. The record is from RNAcentral.